CGGCUCCGCCGUCAAACGGCCGCAGACCACAGACCGACCGAGCGCUGAGCCGAGGAGGAGUACCGACGCUGCCGAACAAACGCUGGGAAAUUACGCCUCUCUGCCGCGGGAUUCUUCUGGGAGUUUGUCCGUGAACGAGGACGAUGAAAUAGCGUCGACAGGAGGAGAAACUUCCACCGGAUGAAUCGGAGAAAGGAAGAGAAAAGAUCGGUGGUUGUGAUGUUGGUCUGACCUGACUUCCACACUACAUUUCCCAUGGAGCCGUGCGCAGACACUGUUCUACCAUGGAGCCACCAGUCAGCCGGCCAGCAGCAGAUGGGUCCCCCCACAUAAAGAGCCGGGUUCUGAUCAAGGUUUCUUCCGGUUAAAAGGGAGUUUAUUCUUGCCACUGUCUCCUUAGGGC
Amphiprion ocellaris (clown anemonefish) is the source of this 403-nucleotide long non-coding RNA. Lineage: Eukaryota; Metazoa; Chordata; Actinopteri; Pomacentridae. The record is from Ensembl.